GACGAACGCUGGCGGCGUGCUUAACACAUGCAAGUCGAACGGAAAGGCCCUGCUUUUGUGGGGUGCUCGAGUGGUGAACGGGUGAGUAACACGUGAGUAACCUGCCCUUGACUUUGGGAUAACUUCAGGAAACUGGGGCUAAUACCGGAUAGGAGCUCCUGCUGCAUGGUGGGGGUUGGAAAGUUUCGGCGGUUGGGGAUGGACUCGCGGCUUAUCAGCUUGUUGGUGGGGUAGUGGCUUACCAAGGCUUUGACGGGUAGCCGGCCUGAGAGGGUGACCGGCCACAUUGGGACUGAGAUACGGCCCAGACUCCUACGGGAGGCAGCAGUGGGGAAUAUUGCACAAUGGGCGGAAGCCUGAUGCAGCAACGCCGCGUGCGGGAUGACGGCCUUCGGGUUGUAAACCGCUUUCGCCUGUGACGAAGCGUGAGUGACGGUAAAGGGUAAAGAAGCACCGGCUAACUACGUG
This 468-nucleotide ribosomal RNA is filed under the name uncultured bacterium. RNAcentral describes it as "partial 16S ribosomal RNA". It matches the Rfam family "Bacterial small subunit ribosomal RNA", at positions 28 to 507 of the family's 1533-position model. The record is from RNAcentral.